UGGGAAUUUUGGACAAUGGGCGCAAGCCUGAUCCAGCCAUGCCGCGUGCGGGAAGAAGGCCUUCGGGUUGUAAACCGCUUUUGUCAGGGAAGAAAUCUUCUGAGUUAAUACCUCGGGAGGAUGACGGUACCUGAAGAAUAAGCACCGGCUAACUACGUGCCAGCAGCCGCGGUAAUACGUAGGGUGCAAGCGUUAAUCGGAAUUACUGGGCGUAAAGCGUGCGCAGGCGGUUUUGUAAGACAGAGGUGAAAUCCCCGGGCUCAACCUGGGAACUGCCUUUGUGACUGCAAGGCUUGAGUGCGGCAGAGGGGGGAUGGAAUUCCGCGUGUAGCAGUGAAAUGCGUAGAUAUGCGGAGGAGCACCGAUGGCGAAGGCAAUCCCCUGGGCCUGCACUGACGCUCAUGCACGAAAGCGUGGGGAGCAAACAGGAUUAGAUACCCUGGUAGUCCACGCCCUAAACGAUGUCAACUGGUUGUUGGGAAGGUUCCUUCUCAGUAACGUAGCUAACGCGUGAAGUUGACCGCCUGGGGAGUACGG
This 537-nucleotide ribosomal RNA is filed under the name uncultured bacterium. RNAcentral describes it as "partial 16S ribosomal RNA". It matches the Rfam family "Bacterial small subunit ribosomal RNA", at positions 356 to 885 of the family's 1533-position model. The record is from RNAcentral.